CUACAUUUAACUAUAUUUGACUACAUUAUAAAAACUCACUGGAAACACUGCAUAUAACCUUAACUACAUUUACCUAGAUUUGACUACAUUUUAAAAAUUCACUGGAAACACUUCAUAUAACCUUAAUUACAUUUAACUACAAUUGACUACAUUUGAAAAACUUACUGGAAACAAGUUCAACAGCUACUACUUUUACAUCUUGGAGGGUAAGGAACUUGAGUUUUACAAGAAGAAACUCCAGAGAAAGAAGGAAAGGGUGCCAGUGGUGCUGCUUAGAGUUGCACCUCCAUUUACUAGUUAAAGAUGGCUCGUACUAAGCACGGCCCAAGCCUAUCAUUUGUUAGAUUAAAUUAUUAUAGAAUUAAGUAUAUUAUGGUGAAUUAGAUAUUAUACAUGUAUGUUAUGUAGUUUCACCAAGGGACUGUAAUAUUCUAGAAGUCUCGUCAUCAGUAUAUGCUUGGCGUGAUACCAAAAAUACAUUUCGAUACAAAUGAAUGAAAGGAUUAAUAGAUAUUUAAAAGGCUACCACAAAGAAAUAAA
RNAcentral lists this long non-coding RNA (540 nucleotides) under Nicotiana benthamiana. Its description in RNAcentral is "long non-coding RNA (NBEN_LNC005725)". The record is from RNAcentral. Lineage: Eukaryota; Viridiplantae; Streptophyta; Magnoliopsida; Solanales; Solanaceae.